GGGGAAUUUUGGACAAUGGGGGCAACCCUGAUCCAGCCAUGCCGCGUGAGUGAAGAAGGCCUUCGGGUUGUAAAGCUCUUUCGGCCGGGAAGAAAUCGUGUGGGCUAAUACCUCACAUGGAUGACGGUACCGGAAUAAGAAGCACCGGCUAACUACGUGCCAGCAGCCGCGGUAAUACGUAGGGUGCGAGCGUUAAUCGGAAUUACUGGGCGUAAAGCGUGCGCAGGCGGUUUGAUAAGACAGGCGUGAAAUCCCCGGGCUUAACCUGGGAACUGCGCUUGUGACUGUCUCACUAGAGUACGGCAGAGGGGGGUGGAAUUCCACGUGUAGCAGUGAAAUGCGUAGAGAUGUGGAGGAACACCGAUGGCGAAGGCAGCCCCCUGGGCCGAUACUGACGCUCAUGCACGAAAGCGUGGGGAGCAAAC
This 425-nucleotide ribosomal RNA is filed under the name uncultured bacterium. RNAcentral describes it as "bacterial SSU rRNA". It matches the Rfam family "Bacterial small subunit ribosomal RNA", at positions 356 to 773 of the family's 1533-position model. The record is from RNAcentral.